UGCUUUCUAUGAUGAUAUAUAUAUAUUACCUUGGGACACCUAUGAAAUAUGCCUUGAUUAGUGUAAAUUUUAAACUGACAAAC
This is a small nucleolar RNA of Drosophila grimshawi, 83 nucleotides long. It matches the Rfam family "Small nucleolar RNA Me28S-Gm3113". From Rfam's summary of the family: Me28S-Gm3113 is a member of the C/D class of snoRNA which contain the C (UGAUGA) and D (CUGA) box motifs. This family directs 2'-O-methylation of 28S G-3113. The record is from Rfam. Lineage: Eukaryota; Metazoa; Arthropoda; Insecta; Diptera; Drosophilidae.